Molecule: long non-coding RNA, 1025 nt
Organism: Triticum dicoccoides
Lineage: Eukaryota; Viridiplantae; Streptophyta; Magnoliopsida; Poales; Poaceae
Exons: 5
Source: RefSeq, a predicted model, not a curated record
GGAUCUUCAGAAGAAUAGCCGGCAUAUAAUAUCAGUUCACAUGUGGAGCCAAUUCAGAUCAUAGGCGGUAGAAGCAGUCUGAAGUAAAUCAGGAUGUUGAUUAAAUCUGGGAAUUUACUUGGUGCCCCAACUGUUUACAUGCGGAACUUGCCUAACCAGUGACGGAACUAUCAAUCUCCUCGAAAGUAAAAGAUUGAGUUGGGGGAAAGGUGUGGUUGACUGAGGCAGUCUUCUUCAACUGCAAUAGCCACACGCGAAUUUUGCAGGUAUGACUGCAAUGGAGAAGGACCCAGAAAUUAAUGGGUGUGCCUACAACACUGCAGAACGCUCAUUUAUGCGAGAGUCGGCUCCCCAAGGAGGGUGACGAAUUGACUUGCAACCAGUCCGCGGAAGAUCUGAAGCCAUGCUAAGGAAGAAGCAGCAACACUGCAUAGGCUAGAAGAAACGUAGCCUGUCAGCCUUGUGAUGUCACUCAGAACUUGCUGCGAUGAGUACAUCUCACAUUCAUAUAGUGUGUUAAUGAUGGAAUCAGACUGCAUCAUCUUCUGAAGAAAUCGACAUUUGUCAUGUUGUUAACUGAAGAAAUCGACACCCAGCGGUUAGCACCAAACCGACCGGGCUCAUCGUCGACCAUCCUGUCUUCAUCGAACGGCAGCUUACCGCUUCGACCGGAGUUACUACGACACACCGCCACCCUUCAUCGCCCAUCCAAUCGCUCUGAAGACUGGACGUGUCACUAUCUGAAUUUACCUUUUACGGUCUCCUUGUUCACCUGCUUUACUUUGGCGUUAAGUUAAGAUUACCUUUCACUAGUUGUAAUGUGUAUGAAACCCCGGAUCUAUCUCAGAGCCCUGGAUCUCAUCUUCCUACUCCCUCCAUUCCACAAUGUAGUGCUUCCUCUAUUCACGUGCUUCAACUUUGACCGUAAAUUUAACUAUCAAAACCGAUUGCGGCGGGGGCAAAAGUUAUAUCAGUGACUUCGUAUUCGAAAGAGGUUUUUAAUUAUGUAACUUUUUCUCCCGCCG